This 85-nucleotide transfer RNA is filed under the name Capronia coronata CBS 617.96. It matches the Rfam family "tRNA". From Rfam's summary of the family: Transfer RNA (tRNA) molecules are approximately 80 nucleotides in length. Their secondary structure includes four short double-helical elements and three loops (D, anti-codon, and T loops). Lineage: Eukaryota; Fungi; Ascomycota; Eurotiomycetes; Chaetothyriales; Herpotrichiellaceae. The record is from Rfam by way of RNAcentral.
UCCUCUGUGGCGCAAUUGGCUAGCGCGUCUGACUGUUAAUUGUACAAAAAUCAGGAGGUUGGUGGUUCGAGCCCACCCGGAGGAG